Lagopus leucura (white-tailed ptarmigan) is the source of this 1814-nucleotide long non-coding RNA. RefSeq lists it as uncharacterized. The transcript has 7 exons. The record is from RefSeq and is a predicted model, not a curated record. NCBI's taxonomy places the organism in Eukaryota, Metazoa, Chordata, Aves, Galliformes, Phasianidae.
AAGUUACUUAUCCUCUGUGAAGUAUGAUGUAUUGAGUCAUAUCAGAAGACAUAGCCAAUUUGGGGAAUGUAAAAACAUUCAAAAUAUGGCUGGACAGCAGAUCUGUGAGCUUUGCCAGAUGGGCUCUGUGUUCAGGAGCAGCAGAGAAAGAACAUCUUGCUUUCUUACUGUUUGCUUUUAGCAUCUCAGUACCAGCACGGAGAUGAGGGGGUUGGUGCCACUCCUGUCAUGUGUAUUUCAUCACAUGUUUUUCCCAUUCCAUCUCUUCCUGACCACCUGUGUUGUCUCAUCUCUCUCUUGUUGGCUGUGUGACCUCCAUCUCUGGACAGCUUGUUUCAUUCUUCAUACUCCAAAGUCAUCAGAACCUGGCAGUCCUUAGCAGCAGUGAGGGCAGCUGGCCACAAGAGGACCCAGAUGAGGAUGUCAUUGUGCUCUUCCCAUCGUGACCAUGAUGCAAAAAGUCCUUCCAGGGAUUGCCUGUUGGAUUUCAUUGGCAGCUUCAGAAGAUGAGCUGAGAGGAAGAGCUUCUGCAUGAGGCACGGCCCAGAGGGACGCUCAGUGCCUGCCUUGGCUGUGUGCUCGCUCACGUCUCCCUGCUGCCCUGCAGCUGGAGAAGGCUUGAAGGUUGAAAUACAAGUCCAGGACAAAUCCAUCAUUGGAGAGGUCUGGGCAUCCCUGCGAUGUCCCACUGGUGUCAGCGUUGGUGGAAGGAAGGAGACCCAGUCCCCACUGUGAUGCUGGGGGUGCCCUAUGCUGGAUUCCACAGGUGCCAAGAGAGGAGGAACUGCCACUUCCCAGGAGCAGUGGUAGAUAACUGGCUGCCAACAGCUCGGGAGGAAAAUGAGCUGCCUGAGCUGUGAGAACUAUUUCUGGAGGUGAAGCCUGACACUGAACUAGAUGCCAGUUCUGGUGAUGGAAUCAAAACAUUCCUGCUGCCCUCAGUGGGUUUAGCCAGGCUGUCACGUCUGCAGAUGUAACAGCAAGGCACGGCACCAGUGGACCGUUGGCUGAAGGGAAGAGAGAAGUUGGAAGCUGUCUGUCUGCAAUUUUGGCUUUGCAGUACUGGCUUGGAGUGAGGCAAAAAAGCAGCAGUACCAGGCAGCAACGUGCACCAAACCACAGAGCUCUGCAAGAGGAAAAUCUGCUCCACUCCUUCAAAGCCUGUCCUGCAACUUGUUUCUAGGUGGAUGUACAGAAGGAUGUCCGUGCCUCAGAAAGCUGCAGUCCCUACUGGCUGGCUUUCUGGCAAUGCGAUUCCUUUGCUUCCUACGCAGUUCUAGAUCAAACUCCAGUUAAUGAGUCACCGAGGAUCCCCAUGGUCGGGAAAGACCCCAGCACGUAAGUAGUUGUUACUACAGUAAAAGAUGCCAGACAAUCUUUUCCUGAAAUGGUAGCCAGUAGAUACUCACUCAUUUCAGCUUUUAUUUACGUACGUGUUAUGAAAAGGACAGUGGUGCUGGCUUUAGGACAUUAGCAACACUUAAUAAUAACACUUAUGUAGGUGUGCACACGUGUACGUGGAAUGAGCAAAUCAUACAUAGCUCCACCUUUAUCUUCAGGCAAGAAGAAAAGAGGUGCUUUUUUCCUGUUGAUCCCUGUUGCUACUUCAGCAAUUGUUUCCUGUGGCUGUACUACGUCUGUAGUUUUCAAUUAUGGGUGAUUAAGUAUGAAUCUAUACUUUAUUAUUAGCUACAUCUAUAUCUACUCCAAUUAUAUGUGUAGCGUGCGUACACAGACACCAGCUGCUAGAAUAAAAUAGACCUUUAUUGAUUUUUUUCCUGGAGUUAUACGCUUGCAAGAUCAAAUUUUCUAUU